AAUUUUAAGGUCAAGCUACAAAGGGCGCAUGGUGAAUGCCUGGGCACUAGGAGCCGAAGAAGGACGCGAUAAGCUGCGAUAAGCCUUGGGUAGCCGCAAAUAGGCUGAGAUCCAGGGAUUUCCGAAUGAGGAAACUCACAUGGG
This 144-nucleotide ribosomal RNA is filed under the name Clostridium botulinum. RNAcentral's name for it is "partial 23S ribosomal RNA". It matches the Rfam family "Bacterial large subunit ribosomal RNA", at positions 1 to 136 of the family's 2925-position model. The record is from RNAcentral. Lineage: Bacteria; Bacillati; Bacillota; Clostridia; Eubacteriales; Clostridiaceae.